UUCUUGAGCUAGUAGCAAAUGAAGUGACAUAAAAUUAGCUAUUACCAUGAGUUAUCCCUCCUCUGCCACAGGCACAAUGUUGGAAAUGGUGCUUAUUAAUGUUGUAUGCAGGUCAUCAGAUGUCACCAGCCACUUGGAAUGCAUUUACCAAUCACUCUUUUAAAUGUGGAAUGGGGGCUAGAGAAGAAAGCAAGUUUUGACAGGUGGCUAGAUCAACAACAACAGUAACAAUAACAAAUCCUCACUCUAAUUUUGUGCAAGUGUUUUAUGUUAAAAAAAAGCAGGGCUACCAGAUGUUAACUGGAUUCCUUCUGGGUAUGAGUUUAAUGCUAUUCCAGAAGUUCACAGGGACUGGAGACGCUGGGGAACAUAUUAACACUAGAUUAAACUAGGCAGUAGGUAUAGGGAUGAUCCCACCCCCAGGGGCCCUUUGUUGUUGCAACAGUGGAGAACCUAUAAUGUUAUCUAGCCUGGUAACAAAAUGUCUGCAGGAAGAGAAGAAUCCAAUCUGACUUUGCUACCAACCAAUUGGUUCCUGAAGUAAAACAGAUUGUAUCUACAGCAAAGCUGUCUUGGGAUAAGAAAAAACACAUUACUUCAAUAGCAGUACAGUAAGGAUGGCUUAAGGUUGCUUCCCACAUGGGUUGGAGAGCCAGAUAAUGCCACAUCAUGAGGAAACAGCAGGAAAAGUGUGGUUACCAGGAUAUGUUUGUGCUACAGUGAGAGCCUGCAGAUCUGGGAUGGAGAUCAUAAUCCUAAACUUCCGUGAACAACAACAUAUCACAAAAUUAAGCCAACCCAGCAAGCUCCCUACCAAGUAGAGAACAUAUACAGUGCCACUGUUGCUGCUUGGGGAAAGAAAAGAAUACACUUCAAGGAAAUAAACCAAUGGGCCACAACUAAGGACCUUCUGUUAUCCCAGAACAGCUAAUUAUUGUUUGGCUGGGGUUGCUAAUAGCUGUUGAUGUAACUUGCUGAUAUUGGAUCUCUUUGAGAAAACAAGGAUACUAAUGAUGUGGUAAUGAGCGGGGAAUUUUCAAAACGUCCUAGAAACAGAAUAUCUAGCCUUAUAAAUAUUUAUGAAAAGCCAGUUUCCAUCCACAUAUAAAUGAAAACCGAUACAUGCACAUUCUCUGGUUAGACAUCUUCUACACAAUGGAGAGCUAUCACCCUAGAAUUCCUACAGCUAUUUUAUGGGAGCAACUCAGGAGUUCACAGUAGCCAUGACAAUUGGGAACCUAUCCCAUUUGAUCCCAGAUUACAAGCUCAAUUUGAUAUUUUAUUCUGUCCAGGAAGAUAUUCUGUGGGUGGGGCAUCUCUGGUUUCCACAGUAUAGUAGAUGGAUCACCAUCCAGUUAAAGUUGCAUUAAUAGCUGUCUCUCAUCUUUGAAGAAGAAUUAGGACAGCCCAACCUAAAAGCCUUUAAAGGAUUCAGUUGGAUUACAUGACAUCUGGGAAGAAUUUGGAGCUAAUCCCAGUAGUUAGUUUGUUGAUGUCCUGUUCAUAACUAGAAUACGAAUUUACUAUGAUUAUUGACCCAAUUGCUCCUAAGUAUUCUCUCCAAUUUGCUUUAAAGUUGGUCCCAUGAUCCAUCGAUGAACCAUGGGAACUGAAAUAGCAAGGUAGAUGACUACAGGGCAAAUAGAGGAAGACACACAUCUGAUCCUUAUAAAGCCCAAUGGAAGGUUUAUGCUUUGGCAAUUCGUGUAGCAAAGCCUGUGUUUUUUUCUUCACAUAUUAGAU
Long non-coding RNA from Crotalus tigris (Tiger rattlesnake), 1743 nucleotides. RefSeq lists it as uncharacterized. Lineage: Eukaryota; Metazoa; Chordata; Lepidosauria; Squamata; Viperidae. The record is from RefSeq and is a predicted model, not a curated record. The transcript has 2 exons.